RNAcentral lists this ribosomal RNA (119 nucleotides) under Strigamia maritima. Lineage: Eukaryota; Metazoa; Arthropoda; Chilopoda; Geophilomorpha; Linotaeniidae. The record is from RNAcentral.
GAGAACUGCCAUACCAUGCUGAAAACACUGGUUCUCGUCUGAUCCCUGAAGUUAAGCAGCAAUGGAUCUGGACAGCAGUUGGCUAAGUGAUUGCCUGGGAAUCCUAAAUGCAGUUCUCU